GACGAACGCUGGCGGCGUGCUUAACACAUGCAAGUCGAACGGAAAGGCCCUGCUUUUGUGGGGUGCUCGAGUGGCGAACGGGUGAGUAACACGUGAGUAACCUGCCCUUGACUUUGGGAUAACUUCAGGAAACUGGGGCUAAUACCGGAUAGGAGCUCCUGCUGCAUGGUGGGGGUUGGAAAGUUUCGGCGGUUGGGGAUGGACUCGCGGCUUAUCAGCUUGUUGGUGGGGUAGUGGCUUACCAAGGCUUUGACGGGUAGCCGGCCUGAGAGGGUGACCGGCCACAUUGGGACUGAGAUACGGCCCAGACUCCUACGGGAGGCAGAGGUGGGGAAUAUUGCACAAUGGGCGGAAGCCUGAUGCGACAACGCCGCGUGCGGGAUGACGGCCUUCGGGUUGUAAACCGCUUUCGCCUGAGACGAAGCGUGAGUGACGGUAAUGGGUAAAGAAGCACCGGCUAACUACGUG
This 468-nucleotide ribosomal RNA is filed under the name uncultured bacterium. Its description in RNAcentral is "partial 16S ribosomal RNA". It matches the Rfam family "Bacterial small subunit ribosomal RNA", at positions 28 to 507 of the family's 1533-position model. The record is from RNAcentral.